GACGAACGCUGGCGGCGCGCCUAACACAUGCGAGUCGAACGGAGCUGCGAGAAGCUUGCUUUUCUUAGCUUAGUGGCGAACGGGUGAGUAACGCGUGAAUAACCUGCCCUGGAGUGGGGGACAACAGUUGGAAACGACUGCUAAUACCGCAUAAGCCCACGAUCCGGCAUCGGAUUGAGGGAAAAGGAUUUAUUCGCUUCAGGAUGGACUCGCGUCCAAUUAGCUAGUUGGUGAGGUAACGGCCCACCAAGGCGACGAUUGGUAGCCGGACUGAGAGGUUGAACGGCCACAUUGGGACUGAGACACGGCCCAGACUCCUACGGGAGGCAGCAGUGGGGGAUAUUGCACAAUGGGGGAAACCCUGAUGCAGCGACGCCGCGUGGAGGAAGAAGGUUUUCGGAUUGUAAACUCCUGUCGUUAGGGACGAUAAUGACGGUACCUAACAAGAAAGCACCGGCUAACUACGUG
Molecule: ribosomal RNA, 468 nt
Filed under: uncultured bacterium
Lineage: Bacteria
Description: partial 16S ribosomal RNA
Rfam family: Bacterial small subunit ribosomal RNA
Source: RNAcentral